RNAcentral lists this non-coding RNA (102 nucleotides) under Carlito syrichta (Philippine tarsier). The record is from RNAcentral. Lineage: Eukaryota; Metazoa; Chordata; Mammalia; Primates; Tarsiidae.
GGCUGGUCCGAAGUUAUCUCAAUUGAUUGUUUACAGUCAGUUACAGAUUGAACUCCUUUACUCUCUCCCCUCUUCUCACUACUGCAUUUGACUGGGUCUUAA